GACGAACGCUGGCGGCGUGCUUAACACAUGCAAGUCGAACGGAAAGGCCUCUUUCGGGGGGUACUCGAGUGGCGAACGGGUGAGUAACACGUGAGUAACCUGCCCUUGACUUUGGGAUAACUUCAGGAAACUGGGGCUAAUACCGGAUAGGAGCUCCUGCUGCAUGGUGGGGGUUGGAAAGUUUCGGCGGUUGGGGAUGGACUCGCGGCUUAUCAGCUUGUUGGUGGGGUAGUGGCUUACCAAGGCUUUGACGGGUAGCCGGCCUGAGAGGGUGACCGGCCACAUUGGGACUGAGAUACGGCCCAGACUCCUACGGGAGGCAGCAGUGGGGAAUAUUGCACAAUGGGUGGAAGCCGGAUGCAGCAACGCCGUGUGCGGGAGGACGGCCUUCGGGUUGUAAACCGCUUUCGCUCAUGACGAAGCUUUGUGUGACGGUAGUGGGUAAAGAAGCACCGGCUAACUACGUG
RNAcentral lists this ribosomal RNA (467 nucleotides) under uncultured bacterium. RNAcentral's name for it is "partial 16S ribosomal RNA". It matches the Rfam family "Bacterial small subunit ribosomal RNA", at positions 28 to 507 of the family's 1533-position model. The record is from RNAcentral.